Molecule: ribosomal RNA, 497 nt
Filed under: uncultured bacterium
Lineage: Bacteria
Description: partial 16S ribosomal RNA
Rfam family: Bacterial small subunit ribosomal RNA
Source: RNAcentral
GAUGAACGCUGGCGGCGUGCCUAAUACAUGCAAGUCGAGCGAACAGACGAGGAGCUUGCUCCUCUGACGUUAGCGGCGGACGGGUGAGUAACACGUGGAUAACCUACCUAUAAGACUGGGAUAACUUCGGGAAACCGGAGCUAAUACCGGAUAAUAUAUUGAACCGCAUGGUUCAAUGGUGAAAGACGGUUUUGCUGUCACUUAUAGAUGGAUCCGCGCCGCAUUAGCUAGUUGGUAAGGUAACGGCUUACCAAGGCAACGAUGCGUAGCCGACCUGAGAGGGUGAUCGGCCACACUGGAACGGAGACACGGUCCAGACUCCUACGGGAGGCAGCAGUAGGGAAUCUUCCGCAAUGGGCGAAAGCCUGACGGAGCAACGCCGCGUGAGUGAUGAAGGUCUUCGGAUCGUAAAACUCUGUUAUUAGGGAAGAACAAAUGUGUAAGUAACUAUGCACGUCUUGACGGUACCUAAUCAGAAAGCCACGGCUAACUACGUG